AAAACAACUCUCAGCAACGGAUAUCUUGGCUCUUGCAACGAUGAAGAACGCAGCGAAAUGCGAUACGUAGUGUGAAUUGCAGAAUUCCGCGAAUCAUCGAAUCUUUGAACGCAAGUUGCGCCCGAGGCUUGUCCGAGGGCAUUUCCGCUAGAGCGUCACC
This 160-nucleotide ribosomal RNA is filed under the name Brachythecium laetum. Its description in RNAcentral is "5.8S ribosomal RNA". It matches the Rfam family "5.8S ribosomal RNA". Rfam says of the family: 5.8S ribosomal RNA (5.8S rRNA) is a component of the large subunit of the eukaryotic ribosome. It is transcribed by RNA polymerase I as part of the 45S precursor that also contains 18S and 28S rRNA. Functionally, it is thought that 5.8S rRNA may be involved in ribosome translocation. The record is from RNAcentral. Lineage: Eukaryota; Viridiplantae; Streptophyta; Bryopsida; Hypnales; Brachytheciaceae.